AUGGGGUUCAUCUCGGGGGUGGUGAUGGGGUUGGUGGUCGGCGUCGUGAUCAUGGCCGGGUGGAGCCGCGUGAUGCAGCGGCGCAGCAGGAAGCGCGUCGCCAAGGCUGCGGAUAUCAAGGUCCUUGGGUCUCUUGGCAGGGAGGACCUCAAGAAGCUCUGCGGCGAAAAUUUCCCCGAGUGGAUAUCCUUCCCACAGUAUGAGCAGGUGAAAUGGCUGAACAAGCAUCUCAGCAAACUUUGGCCUUUUGUUUCACAAGCUGCAACUGCAGUUGUUAAGGAAUCUGUUGAACCCCUGCUAGAUGAUUAUCGACCUCCAGGAAUAAAAUCUCUGAAGUUCAACAAAUUCUCUCUUGGAAAUGUCUCGCCAAAGAUCGAAGGCAUCCGUAUCCAAAAUCUUCAGCCAGGCCAAAUCAUAAUGGAUAUAGAUUUCCGUUGGGGUGGUGAUCCAAGCAUAAUCCUUGCUGUUGAUGCUCGAGUUGCAUCACUGCCUAUUCAGCUCAAGGAUCUCCAGGUCUUUACCGUUGUUCGGGUCGUAUUUCAACUAUCAGAAGAGAUUCCCUGCAUCUCUGCUGUUGUCGUUGCUCUCCUCGCAGAGCCAGAGCCUAAAAUACAGUACACAUUGAAGGCUGUUGGGGGUAGUCUGACUGCUAUUCCAGGACUUUCUGAUAUGAUUGAUGAUACUGUCAAUUCAAUUGUCAAUGACAUGCUCCAGUGGCCACACAGGCUUGUUGUUCCACUUGGCGUCAAUGUUGAUACAAGUGAGCUGGAGCUUAAACCUGAGGGAAAACUUUCUGUUACUGUAGUAAAAGCAACAUCUCUGAAGAAUAAGGAGUUGAUUGGUAAAUCUGAUCCCUACGUGACCCUGUAUGUGCGCCCCAUGUUCAAGGUCAAAACAAAAGUCAUAGAUGACAACCUAAAUCCUGAAUGGAAUGAAACAUUUGAACUGAUUGUUGAAGACAAGGAAACCCAAUCUGUCAUUUUUGAGGUUUAUGAUGAAGACAACCUUCAGCAAGACAAGAGGCUAGGUGUGGCUAAAUUAGCAGUGAAUAAUAUUGUGCCCGAGACUCCCAGUGAAAUCACUCUGAAGCUUAUGCAGUCAGUAGAUUCACUUAAGAUUAAAGACUACAGGGAUAGAGGGUCAUUACAUCUUAAGGUCAUGUAUCAUCCAUUUACCAAGGAAGAACAACUGGAAGCCCUGGAGUCGGAAAAGAAAGCAAUAGAGGAGAGAAAGCGGCUGAAGGAGGCUGGGGUAAUUGGCAGCACGAUGGAUGCACUUGGUGGCGCCGCAUCACUAGUUGGUUCAGGUGUUGGAUUUGUGGGCACUGGCGUUGCCGGGGGUGUUGGGCUCGUGGGCUCAGGGCUUGGUGCUGGCGCUGGUCUGGUUGGUUCUGGUAUUGGUGCCGUGGGCAGCGGCCUUGGUAAAGCUGGGAAGUUCAUGGGAAGGACUGUGACAGGGCACUUGGGCAUGUCCCGCAAGAGUGGUAGCAGCUCCACUGUUCCCCAACCUGACCAGCCUUCUGCAUAA
RNAcentral lists this ribosomal RNA (1527 nucleotides) under Triticum aestivum (bread wheat). Its description in RNAcentral is "partial small subunit ribosomal RNA". The record is from RNAcentral. Lineage: Eukaryota; Viridiplantae; Streptophyta; Magnoliopsida; Poales; Poaceae.